This 1234-nucleotide long non-coding RNA is filed under the name Apteryx rowi (Okarito brown kiwi). Its description in RNAcentral is "lncRNA (ENSARWG00000014248.1)". The record is from RNAcentral. Lineage: Eukaryota; Metazoa; Chordata; Aves; Apterygiformes; Apterygidae.
CUGCUGCCCAGCCAUGCCAAGCCGGCAGCUUCCAUGCAGAAAAUGCAUAAUGAGCCCGGUGUUCGUGGGCAGCUCUGCAUCAGCUUGGGGUUUCCAGCAGCACUUCUGAAAUAUGUGCAGCCUGUUCAUUCGGCGCCUACACAGUCCAGCAAGCGGCAAGGAGGAACAGGGGCCUGGAGCAGCCGGUCGCCGCUGCGAAUAGAACAACUCAUCCAUCCUGCAGCCUGUCGCCGAGCCGAGCUAUCCCAGAGGUCGCGCAUCUCUGCCGUGGAGCGUGACGAACUUCUGGCUGUUGUCAUGUGGAUUCCCCCCCGGAUGAGGAAAAGGGGGAGAGAAAAUUGCUUCCAGAGAUGAUCUUAUAGCUGAUGAGAGAGACACCAGCUGAGGCAGCAGUAUCGUAGAGAUGGCAGGCAUUAGACGGAUGAUGUUUCUUCCUGUUCUUGUGCAAAGCUCUUGUGGAAGCUUUAUGAUACUGGAUAAUCCUUUUCAAAAUAACGCCGGGGCACCCCGUGGAAAGCCCCUGCUUGUCAACACUUAAAGUGUGGCAAUUCAACCCAUGAAAUGACUGUGCUCAAGAUGAAUCUUAANAAAAAAAAAAAAAAAAAAAAAAAAAAAAAAAAAAAAAAAGAGAGAGAGACUUCCUUCUUAUAUUAAGGGAGGUGAAGUAAACUCUUCUCACUUCAUCCUAUUUUGAUGGCAACUCAUUAGCGAACUUUCUCCUUUUUGUGUUUCUUCUGAUUCGUAUUUUGAAUGUCCUAGUGCCACCAUUUGGUGGCUUUGAUAUUCGUCUAACUUGAUCCUUCGAGUUGGUGUACCAUGGGGGUUCAGUUUGUUUCGAAUGUGGUACAGAUCUAAGGUACCUUGUACAACCUUAGAGGGGUCAGGGAAUACUGGAAGUUAUAAACCGUCUUGGAACCGGCUUUCCACAGGAAGCGACGUUCCAGCAGUCUUUGUUUGAAGUCUAAGGAUUUCCCAGAAAACUUAAUGAAACUGCCCUUAAGUACUGCUGGGCGAUAAGCUUUUGAUGAUUGCUGCUACUGUUAGAGCUCCUAAACUGGAGAAAACUGCUUGUAAGGGCACACUCUGUCUUUUUUUUCUGGACAACAAAGGGAAAGUGAUGUAGCAGGCCCUGGAGUUUGGCAAAAUCAGUAACCAUACUGAAAACCAUCCAUCUAUUAUCUAUCUGUAUGCAUAUUAAAAAUAAAAUAUUAAUUUUGAAAGCUUCUGUGUGUCA